UUGGAGGGCAAGUCUGGUGCCAGCAGCCGCGGUAAUUCCAGCUCCAAUAGCGUAUAUUAAAGUUGUUGCAGUUAAAAAGCUCGUAGUUGAGUUUCGGGAUUCAUCCGUUGGUCGGGCCUCACGGUCCGUACUGGUGUGAUGGGUUCCUACCUUCUGAAUAACCGGCAUGCCAUUAAUUUGGUGCGCCGGGGAAGCAGAACUAUUACCUUGAAAAAAUUAGAGUGCUUAAAGCAGGCAAGUGCCUGAAUAGGUUAGCAUGGAAUAAUAAAAUAGGACGGCAUGGUUCUAUUUUGUUGGUUUCUAGGAUCACCGUAAUGAUUAAUAGGGAUAGUUGGGGGCAUUAGUAUUCAAUUGUCAGAGGUGAAAUUCUUGGAUUUAUUGAAGACUAACUUCUGCGAAAGCAUUUGCCAAGGAUGUUUUCAUUAAUCAAGAACGAAAGUUAGGGGAUCGAAGACGAUCAGAUACCGUCGUAGUCUUAACCAAAAACUAUGCCGACUAGGGAUCGGACGAUGUUAAUUUUUUAAUGACUCGUUCGGCGCCUUACGGGAAAC
This 551-nucleotide ribosomal RNA is filed under the name uncultured Glomeromycotina. Its description in RNAcentral is "SSU rRNA". It matches the Rfam family "Eukaryotic small subunit ribosomal RNA", at positions 548 to 1098 of the family's 1831-position model. Lineage: Eukaryota; Fungi; Glomeromycota. The record is from RNAcentral.